GACGAACGCUGGCGGCGUGCUUAACACAUGCAAGUCGAACGGAAAGGCCCUGCUUUUGCGGGUUGCUCGAGUGGCGAACGGGUGAGUAACACGUGAGUAACCUGCCCCUGACUUUGGGAUAACUUCUGGAAACUGGGGCUCAUACCGCAUAGGAGCUCCUGCUGCAUGUUGGGGGUUGGUAAGUUUCGGCGGUUGGGGCUGGACUCGCGGCUUAUCAGCUUGUUGGUGGGGUAGUGGCUUACCAAGGCUUUGACGGGUAGCCGGCCUGAGAGGGUGACCGGGCACAUUGGGACUGAGGUACGGCGCAGAAGCGUACGGGAGGCAGCAGGGGGGAAUAUUGCAGAAUGGGCGGAAGCCAGAUGCAGCAACGCCGCGUGCGGGAUGACGGCCUUCGGGGUGUGAACCGCUUUGGCCGGUGACGAAGCGUGAGUGACGGUAAUGGGUAAAGAAGCACCGGCUAACUACGUG
Molecule: ribosomal RNA, 468 nt
Filed under: uncultured bacterium
Lineage: Bacteria
Description: partial 16S ribosomal RNA
Rfam family: Bacterial small subunit ribosomal RNA
Source: RNAcentral